UGACAGGCAAGCAUAAACACCAUCAUUAGAAAGGCAAAGGAGAAAAGAGGGCAUCCACUGGGUGGAAUAAGACCAGAUCCUGUUUUGGUCAGCAGAAUUCUGACCAGAAAACAAGUGCUGCUGGUCUCCUACCUCCAUUUGAUAAGCUGGAGUGCAAUGGCAUAGUCAUGUCUCACUGCAAC
Long non-coding RNA from Homo sapiens (human), 182 nucleotides. RefSeq lists it as uncharacterized. The record is from RefSeq and is a predicted model, not a curated record. The transcript has 3 exons. NCBI's taxonomy places the organism in Eukaryota, Metazoa, Chordata, Mammalia, Primates, Hominidae.